AACUUUGAUAUAUUUUGGUAAUACAAAUUUGCGUGGCAAAUUUGAUUUUGUGUACGUAUAUUACUAUUUUAUCAUGUUUCGGAUGAUUCAUGUUCCUGGAGAGGUGUCACGAGAAGAAAAAAAGAAAGCUAAAGAAGCAGUAAUAGAAAACGUCGCCGCUUUCUUUAUUUGGGUUGUUUUUAUAAGAGGGCUUCGGUAUGUCUUGAGGCGGUUCUGACUGCUGAUCGGAAGUGAAACGCAAUGAAGUAAAAUACCAAACAAAAGAUGGCAUUGAAAAGUUCCUGUAUUUGUCUGUAGCAGUCAACUAAUAAAAUGUGAAACGGUGUAUUUAACACAAAACUUGUAUUCAUAUGUUUUAUUUGUAAUUCUUAGUCUUUUCGAAGUUGAGUGGGUAGUCAUAAUAUUUCUGUAAGAUUAAAUUUUAUUUCACUUUCAUAGGUUGCAUUAAAUCAUACUAUUCAAAGUAUCAGUUUCAUCGAAGUUAAUGAAGAAAUUGCCAGCAGUGCAAUAGACAUACUCAGGUUGUGACUAUCUGUAAGACGUUUUAUUAAAUAAGGGAUACGGAACUUUUAUGUUCGGGAAACUAAUUGCAGUCAAGUGUAUCAGAUGACCGAAACCUCAGCAUAAUUUCCUUAUCAUGUUUAGAAGAAAAAUAGAGUUUUCGUAAGUGUUUUGUGUAAAAUAGCAGUAAACUGAAGCUGUCAUCAUAGUAAUUAAAGGAAUAUUAACUUGGA
Long non-coding RNA from Schistocerca serialis cubense, 734 nucleotides. RefSeq lists it as uncharacterized. The transcript is spliced from 2 exons. Lineage: Eukaryota; Metazoa; Arthropoda; Insecta; Orthoptera; Acrididae. The record is from RefSeq and is a predicted model, not a curated record.